GAUGAACGCUGGCGGCGUGCCUAAUACAUGCAAGUCGAGCGAAUGGACGAGAAGCUUGCUUCUCUGAUGUUAGCGGCGGACGGGUGAGUAACACGUGGAUAACCUACCUACAAGACUGGGAUAACUUCGGGAAACCGGAGCUAAUACCGGAUAAUAUUUUGAACCGCAUGGUUCAAAAGUGAAAGACGGUCUUGCUGUCACUUAUAGAUGGAUCCGCGCUGCAUUAGCUAGUUGGUAAGGUAACGGCUUACCAAGGCAACGAUGCAUAGCCGACCUGAGAGGGUGAUCGGCCACACUGGAACUGAGACACGGUCCAGACUCCUACGGGAGGCAGCAGUAGGGAAUCUUCCGCAAUGGGCGAAAGCCUGACGGAGCAACGCCGCGUGAGUGAUGAAGGUCUUCGGAUCGUAAAACUCUGUUAUUAGGGAAGAACAUAUGUGUAAGUAACUGUGCACAUCUUGACGGUACCUAAUCAGAAAGCCACGGCUAACUACGUG
RNAcentral lists this ribosomal RNA (497 nucleotides) under uncultured bacterium. Its description in RNAcentral is "partial 16S ribosomal RNA". It matches the Rfam family "Bacterial small subunit ribosomal RNA", at positions 28 to 507 of the family's 1533-position model. The record is from RNAcentral.